RNA transcript from Mandrillus leucophaeus (drill), 4348 nucleotides. It is a transcript of the gene named ligase I, DNA, ATP-dependent, with no coding region annotated. NCBI's taxonomy places the organism in Eukaryota, Metazoa, Chordata, Mammalia, Primates, Cercopithecidae. The record is from RefSeq and is a predicted model, not a curated record. The transcript has 28 exons.
UCGCGCGGGCGCUUCCACCAAUUCUUCCUCCUUCCCUGCCAGUCACUCCUCAGACCCUCAGCCACACCCUCUCAUCCAGGGCGAGGGAAAGCUCGGGGCAUUUUCCCAGUGUGCUCUGCGGGAGGGCUCGCCCCACUUCACCCCUUUUCCCGCCCUCCUCCCAUUCGGGAGACUACGACUCCCAGUGUCCUCCGCGCGACGGCGGCGGUGCGCACUGUGCCCAGGUCCCGCCCCUAGGCUCUGCCCCGCCCCCGCCCGCCGACGUCUGCGCGCGAAUGCCGUGGCGCGAACUUGGGACUGCAGAGGCGCGCCCGGCGGAUCUGAGUGUGUUGCCCGGGCAGCGGCGCGCGGGACCAGCGCGAGGAGCAGCUGACAGACGAAGAAAAGUGCUGGACAGGAAGGGAGAAUUCUGGCGCCAACAUGCAGCGAAGUAUCAUGUCAUUCUUCCACCCCAAGAAAGAGGGUAAAGCGAAGAAGCCUGAGAAGGAGGCAUCCAACGGCAGCAGAGAGACGGAGCCCCCUCCGAAGGCGGCACUGAAGGAGUGGAAUGGAGUGUCCGAGAGUGACUCUCCAGUGAAGAGGCCAGGCAGGAAGGCGGCCCGGGUCCUGGGCAGCGAAGGGGAAGAGGAGGAUGAAGCCCUUAGCCCUGCUAAAGGCCAGAAGCCUGCCCCAGACUGCUCACAGGUCUCCCCGCCCCGUCCUGCCACAUCUCCUGAAAACAACGCUUCCCUCUCUGACACCUCUCCCAGGGACAGCUCCCCAUCAGGGAUCCCGAAGCGUCGCACAGCUCGGAAGCAGCUCCCGAAACGGACCAUUCAGGAAGUCCUGGAAGAGCAGAGUGCGGACGAGGACAGAGAAGCCAAAAGGAAGAAGGAGGAGGAAGUGGAUACCCCAGAAGAAAGCCUCACAGAGGCUGAAGUGGCAACAGAGAAGGAAGGAGAAGACAGGGACCAGCCCACCACACCUCCCAAGCCCCUAAAGACCUCCGAAGCAGAGACCCCGACGGAAAGCGUUUCGGAGCCCGAGGUGGCCACGAGGCAGGAACUGCAGGAGGAGGAAGAGCAGACCAAGCCUCCCCGCAGCGCUCCCAAGACACUCAGCAGCUUCUUCACGCCCCGGAAGCCAGCAAUCAAAAAAGAAGUGAAGGAGGAGGAGCCAGGGGCUCCAGGAAAGGAGGGAGCUGCUGAGGGACCCCUGGACCCAUCCGGUUACAAUCCUGCCAAGAACAGCUACCAUCCCGUGGAAGACGCCUGCUGGAAACCGGGCCAGAAGGUCCCUUACCUGGCUGUGGCCCGGACGUUUGAGAAGAUCGAGGAGGUGUCUGCCCGGCUCCGGAUGGUGGAGACACUGAGCAACUUGCUGCGCUCCGUGGUGGCCCUGUCACCUCCAGACCUCCUCCCGGUCCUCUACCUCAGUCUCAACCACCUUGGGCCACCGCAGCAGGGCCUGGAGCUUGGCGUGGGUGAUGGCGUCCUUCUCAAGGCAGUGGCCCAGGCCACAGGUCGGCAGCUGGAGUCCGUCCGGGCUGAGGCAGCCGAGAAGGGCGACGUGGGGCUGGUGGCCGAGAACAGCCGCAGCACCCAGAGGCUUAUGCUGCCACCACCUCCGCUCACUGCUUCCGGGGUCUUCAGCAAGUUCCGUGACAUCGCCAGGCUCACUGGCAGUGCUUCCACAGCCAAGAAGAUAGACAUCAUCAAAGGCCUCUUUGUGGCCUGCCGCCACUCAGAAGCCCGGUUCAUCGCCAGGUCCCUGAGCGGACGGCUACGCCUUGGGCUGGCAGAGCAGUCGGUGCUGGCCGCCCUCUCCCAGGCUGUGAGCCUCACGCCCCCAGGCCAAGAAUUCCCACCAGCCGUGGUGGAUGCUGGGAAGGGCAAGACAGCAGAGGCCAGAAAGACGUGGCUGGAGGAGCAAGGCAUGAUCCUGAAGCAGACAUUCUGUGAGGUGCCCGACCUGGACCGAAUUAUCCCCGUGCUGCUGGAGCACGGCCUGGAACGUCUCCCGGAGCACUGCAAGCUGAGCCCAGGGAUUCCGCUGAAACCAAUGUUGGCCCAUCCCACGCGGGGCGUCAGUGAGGUCCUGAAACGCUUUGAGGAGGCAGCUUUCACCUGCGAAUACAAAUACGAUGGGCAGAGGGCGCAGAUCCACGCCCUGGAAGGCGGGGAGGUGAAGAUCUUCAGCAGGAAUCAGGAAGACAACACUGGAAAGUACCCGGACAUCAUCAGCCGCAUCCCCAAGAUUAAACUCCCAUCGGUCACAUCCUUCAUCCUGGACACGGAAGCCGUGGCUUGGGACCGGGAAAAGAAGCAGAUCCAGCCAUUCCAAGUGCUCACCACCCGCAAACGCAAGGAAGUGGAUGCGUCCGAGAUCCAGGUGCAGGUGUGUUUGUACGCCUUCGACCUCAUCUACCUCAAUGGAGAGUCCCUGGUACGUGAGCCCCUUUCCCGGCGCCGGCAGCUGCUCCGGGAGAACUUUGUGGAGACGGAGGGCGAGUUUGUCUUCGCCACCUCUCUGGACACCAAGGACGUCGAGCAGAUCGCCGAGUUCCUGGAGCAGUCGGUGAAAGACUCCUGUGAGGGGUUGAUGGUGAAGACCCUGGAUGUCGAUGCCACCUACGAGAUCGCCAAGAGAUCGCACAACUGGCUCAAGCUGAAGAAGGACUACCUUGAUGGCGUGGGUGACACCCUGGACCUGGUGGUGAUCGGCGCCUACCUGGGCCGGGGGAAGCGGGCCGGCCGGUACGGGGGCUUCCUGCUGGCCUCCUAUGACGAGGACAGUGAGGAGCUGCAGGCCAUAUGCAAGGUCCUGGGGGACUGGGGCUGACCGCAGAAGCAGGAGGGAAGGAGAUUAGACUCCCGGGGGGACUUCCUAUUGCACAACCCAGACCUAGGGACACUCACAUCCCCCUGUGAAGGAUUCGUUCUCCCCAGUUUUUAUUUACUUUUUCUGGUUCUAUAAGUAACUCUUGCUUCAUAUAGAAAAACGGGCUGGGAUAGAAAGGUGUCAGGAAUGUGUGUCAGUGAGAGAUGGAGAUUAGCUACAAAUAGUGGUGGCUCACACUAAGAAAAGGAUUUUUUUCCUUAUGAAAUGAGAAGUGUGGAGGGGGCAGUCCGAUGCCAUUAGGGAUUCAGGUUCCUCCUCUCUCUCCCCACAUUAUUUUUUGUCAUGUGCCUCUGGCCUCAUCAUCACAAUGUGGCUGCAGGAGUUCCAGCCCUCAUGGCCAUGCCUGCUCCACGCACCAGGAAGGAGCAAAGUGGGGUGGACCAUGAGUCAGCCUCGUCCAACACCUUCUGCUCAGGUUCUGUUGCUCAUCACUUUGCUCCAUGGCUCACCCCUAGCUGCAAGGAAUUCUGGGAAAUGUGAAGUGAUUUUUAUUUUUUUUCAAGUUAAAGUUUUUCUUAAAGCUGUGCACAUUUUGGACUAGAUUUUCUUAAUGUAUUUCCUAUACUCCCCUCUCCAGCAAAUUUGGGUCUUUUGCCACAGAAGCAGAACAAAAUAUCACCUAGAAUCCCACCGCCCAGAGACACGCAGUAGUGACAUUUGAGGGAAUGUUUUAUUUACAUUUUUGCAAAGUUGUGGUCUUUCUCUAUGAGUAAUUUUCUCUUCUGCCUUUUUACCCUGGAAGUACUUUAUUUUCAAUGUUGUGUAUGCCCUUAAGCAGUGUGGCAACAGGACUUGAAUGCCUGCACGAGAAUUUUCAAGUGCUAUGCCCCAGUGUCCUGAACCAGCUCCCUGUGGCUGUCUGGGGAAGCUGUUGCCAGCUUUGUUCUUAUGGCUUGGAACUGGCUUCAGCGACGAGGAGCUGGAGGAGCAUCACCAGAGCCUCAAGGCCCUGGUGCUGCCCAGCCCCCGCCCUUAUGUGCGGAUAGAUGGUGCCGUGACUCCCGACCACUGGCUGGACCCCAGCGCCGUGUGGGAGGUGAAGUGUGCCGACCUCUCCCUCUCCCCCAUCUACCCUGCUGCGCGGGGCCUGGUGGAUAGUGACAAGGGGAUCUCCCUUCGCUUCCCUCGGUUUAUUCGAGUCCGUGAAGACAAGCAGCCGGAGCAGGCCACCACCAGUGCACAGGUGGCCUGUUUGUACCGGAAGCAAAGUCAGAUUCAGAACCAACAAGGCGAGGACUCAGGCUCUGACCCUGAAGAUACCUACUAAGUCCUUGCCCUCCUAGGGCCUGGGUACAGGGCAUGAGUUGGACGGAACCCAGGGUUAUUAUUGCCUUUGCUCUUUAGCAAAUCUGCUGUGGCAGGCUAUGGUUUUUGAGAGUCAGGGGAGGGGUGUGUGUGUGAGGGGGGUGGCUUACACCGGAGUCUGGGAUUCAUCCCAUCAUUUCUUUCAAUAAAUAAUUAUCGGAUA